UCUUUCUCUCCUUUCUACUGUCUUUUUUCUCUCUCUUUAAUCUUCUCUCCUCUCUCUCUACUUUUGUCUUUGUCAUUGUCAUUGCCUUGUUGCUCGCCCGCCGAAACAGCUCUUGUCACCUUUACACCACCCUUACAUCGUUACCCAUUCUAAACUCUGUUCGGUUGAUUUCGGUUACAGAGUCGUCCGAUUGGUUAAGGAAUUUGUUCUUUUAUCGUUAAAUACCCUUAUCUCGUUACCUAUUGCCCACUAAAGCUUUAAGUUAAUCUCUUUACAUAAUCAUUGCUCGCCUUUGGUCCAAUCAUUGCGUCGGAUAUAGAUCUCUGCUUAUCUCGAUCGUUACUUUGAACCAAUCAUUAAAAAUAUUGCUGUCCAAUUGCGUCCUUGCAUUUUUGCCGUUAUCAAACU
Schizosaccharomyces pombe (fission yeast) is the source of this 408-nucleotide non-coding RNA. NCBI's taxonomy places the organism in Eukaryota, Fungi, Ascomycota, Schizosaccharomycetes, Schizosaccharomycetales, Schizosaccharomycetaceae. The record is from the annotation of a GenBank genome assembly.